RNAcentral lists this ribosomal RNA (445 nucleotides) under uncultured Methanolinea sp. RNAcentral's name for it is "bacterial SSU rRNA". It matches the Rfam family "Archaeal small subunit ribosomal RNA", at positions 892 to 1338 of the family's 1478-position model. Lineage: Archaea; Methanobacteriati; Methanobacteriota; Methanomicrobia; Methanomicrobiales; Methanoregulaceae. The record is from RNAcentral.
AGCCUGCGGUUUAAUCGGACUCAACGCCGGGAAACUCACCAGAUAAGACAGCUGAAUGAUAGUCGGGCUGAAGACUCUACUUGACUAGCUGAGAGGAGGUGCAUGGCCGUCGUCAGUUCGUACUGUGAAGCAUCCUGUUAAGCAGGCAACGAGCGAGACCCACGCCAACAGUUGCCAGCAUGUCCUCCGGGAUGAUGGGGACACUGUUGGGACCGCCUCUGCUAAAGAGGAGGAAGGAAUGGGCAACGGUAGGUCAGCAUGCCCCGAAUUAUCCGGGCUACACGCGGGCUACAAUGGUCAGGACAAUGGGUAUCGACACCGAGAGGUGGAGGCAAUCUCCUAAACCUGUCCUUAGUUCGGAUUGUGGGCUGCAACUCGCCCACAUGAAGCUGGAAUCCGUAGUAAUCGCGUUUCAAAUAGCGCGGUGAAUAUGUCCCUGCUCCUU